Erinaceus europaeus (western European hedgehog) is the source of this 1996-nucleotide long non-coding RNA. RefSeq lists it as uncharacterized. Lineage: Eukaryota; Metazoa; Chordata; Mammalia; Eulipotyphla; Erinaceidae. The transcript is spliced from 2 exons. The record is from RefSeq and is a predicted model, not a curated record.
UGUUUUUUCAUUGAUAGGUUACUGGGUGUCCUAUCCAUUGUAAAAGGAACUUGUUUCACUCUACCUCUUCCCUCCACUCUCCUUUUCUCCUCCUCCUAGCUAAUUUAAAAAAAAGAAAACCUCUUUCCUUUCACUGCUCUUUUUUUCUUGUUCUUGUCUUUUUUUUCUUCCUUCCUCCUUAUUUUGAUUUCUUAAUUCACUGAUACUCAUUUGUGAAUUAUUUUGGGGAAGAAAUCUGACUCAGAGUGGACUCUGUGUGUCUCUCUCUUCUCUACUUCCCUUUCUCCUCUUGCUAUCCCUAGAAUUUUCAGUGGACAGUAAAUUUGCAUAAUUGUCUUUUCUUGCUUUCCCUUUUCUCCUUUCUCUUUUGGAUUUGGUUGCUAUUUUUUUCUUGGACUGGAAGUGUUGUUUGGCUAACUGGUAUUGGUUAAACUGCAUCAAUCCUUGCUUCAGUUACUAUUGUUGUAAUUUCUAAGGUUGGUGACUGCAUUUGUCAUAAAGGUAUUUAGUAUAGCGUGGUGGCUUGUACUCAAAACACAGCAACUGAAGAACAACAGGACAGAAAAACAAAAAACACAUCAAUAAAAAAAAUGGUUAAAUCAAGAGCAAAUAAAACUGCUACAACAGUGAAUCAAGAAGCUUCACAAACAGUAUAGCAGUGCUAUGAUGUCUCUCCAUUUAUCUCCUCAUACUCUGUCUCUCAUUCUCUAUUUGAAAAAAAUAAAAUACCUAGAGUAGUGUCAGGAUUGUGCAUGUAUGAAAUCCCAGAUAAAAACCCCAGAGGCAAAACAAAUCAGUUUUUAAAGAUCUGUAAUUAUUUUAUUCACUGCCAUAGCUACAGUACCUAGCAGUUUUUCUCUAUAAUCAAAUAUAAGAUUUUGUGCAUUCAGAGUCUAUGGGAAGAACUGGAAUCAUAACAGUAAUAUUUAAGCAGACAUUGUUUCAUCUCUUACCAUCUGAAGUAACCAUCUAAUCCCUUUCAACUACCUCUAAUUUGGUAAGGCAUCAACAUCUAUUCUCAAUUCACCCUGUCUACCUACAGCAAGUCAUCUGCUAUUUUCCUGCUGUCUGGAAUCUUGUACUUCAAGGGUCUUAGGCUCCCUUAUUGCCAUGCUGAUGGUAAAGAUUAGAAACAAAUUUGGCUUUCUGUCUGGGACUCUGAGAACCUCUCCUGAUGCCCAUCUGAUGUGCUGAUGCCUCUCUUACACAUCUUUUCUAAUUGCCAACUUGCUCUGCUGCUGCCUCUUCCAGUGGGUGGGGACGGGGGAACACACCCUCAUACUAUUGGUACCGUACACUAUACUCUGUUCCUGAGUGCACACACAGUUACUCUCAAUGUCUUUCUACUGUCGUUUGAACUUGGGAUUUUACUGCUGUUUUCUUCAGUUCCCUUGGACAAAUGAUUAUUGGGGGAAGUAGUUCUGUAGGACAACCUCACCAGCAAUCAUCUGGCAACUCAAAAACUUCCCUUCUCCUUUGACAACACACAAUUAGGGAACCAGUUUUGCUCACCACAAAUCUGAUUUCUCACCAUGAAUUUUUCCAUUUGCGGGUAUUUUGUUGCUCAGGCAAACAGGUCCUUGAAGGAUGCAAUGUCUCCAGCCAUCAGCAAAAGACUGGACUCUGCCUCGGGCUCCAGUCACAGGACUCAGUCAGGACUUUCUCCUCCCUUAUCUUGAUCUCAGCAUUGGAGCCACUGACUUCUGGAGAAACUGGCAACAUCUCCUCUCCCAGGACUACUACAUGACAUUCUCAGGGCUCAAGGAGUGAGUAUAAGUGAAAGCCUAUUUUGUCCUAAUGCUAAACAUUUUUUGAGGAGGAGACAAAUUAAGUAAAAUAUAUUCUAGUGGUCUGGGAGAUGGCACAGUGAUAAAGCUUUGGACUCUCAGGCAUGAUGUCCCCAGUUCGAUCCCCAGCUGCACAUGUGCCAGAGUGAUGUCUGGUUCUUUUUCUCCUCUUAUCUUUCUCAUAAAUAAAUAAAAAUAUUUUAAAUAUA